RNAcentral lists this long non-coding RNA (1399 nucleotides) under Pan troglodytes (chimpanzee). Its description in RNAcentral is "long non-coding RNA NONPTRT012086". Lineage: Eukaryota; Metazoa; Chordata; Mammalia; Primates; Hominidae. The record is from RNAcentral.
CCAGCUCAGAAAGCCAAAGAAAGUAGCUGGUUGGCCAAGAGAGGAGGCUGCCCUCACCAGACACACAUACCCAGGGUGUCUUCAUCUCACUGACUAUUUCAAAAGGAAGUGAGACUCCCCUGAGCCCACCAGGCUGCAUGCAGCUCAGGCCACGUGGAGAAGCCAUGGAGAAUGAGACACACCCUGGAGGAGAGCAUGGCCAAGAAGCACCAGAUAAGUGAUGAAGAAGCUUCUCAGAGGCGGCUCUCCCGGCUCCAGCUCCCCAAUGGCCAUCAUGUGGAGUCAAGAAGAACCGUUCUGUUGAGCCCUCUCCAAAUUCCUGACCCACAAAAUUGUGAGCAAACUAAAACAACUAAUUGAAGUCCCUAUGUUUUGGAGCACUUUGUUAUACAGCAGUGGAUAACUGCAACAUGACCCAACAGCCAGCAAGAUCUUUUAAAAAUGGAAACCAAACAAUGCCACUCCUCAACUUCAAGCUCUCCAGUGGCUUCUUAUUACAAAAUCUGGACUUUUCACCAUGGCCUGCAGGGCUCUGGACAGUCUGGGCCCUGUCCCCAUUGCCACUCCCUUCCUCCCUGGGCUCCAUCCACACUGGCCUCAACCCUCCAGCACAGCAAGUGCCUGCUCACAUUCCUUCUUCCUGAGACACUCCGCAUCUCUUCUCAUCUCCUGGUCUCUGCUAAGAUGUCAUCUCCUCCACUUUACACCCAUCUGGGUGCCUGUUAACAAGAAAACAGGAAAUAAUAAGGGUUGAUGAAGAUGUGGAGAAGUUGAAAUCCUGAUACAUUUUAUAUGAUACAUGUACUAUAAAAUGAUACACUUUAUAGUAAGAUGGCACUGUUCUGCUGCGGAAAGCAGUAUGGUGUUUUCUAAAAAAAUUAAACAGAAUUACUGUAUGACCUGGCAAUUUCUCUUCUGGGUAAAUACUCAAAAGAAUUGAAACCAGAAUCUCACAGAGAUAAUUGUAUGCCCAUAUUCGUAGCAGUAUUAUUCACAGGAGCUAAGGGGUGGGAACAACCCAAGUGUCCAUGACAGAUGAAUGGAUGAGCACAUGUGGUCUAUCCACACAAUGGGUAUUACUGAGCCUUCAAAAGGAAGACAAUUCUGCACAUGCUACAACUUGGAGGAACCUUGAGGACAUUAUGCUGAGCGAUAUAAGCCAGUAAAAAAAGGAAAAUACUGUAUGACCCCACCUAUAUGAGGUACUAGUAUAGUCACAGUCCUAGAGACACAAAGUAGAAUGGUGGGUGCCAGACAGAAGAGGAGGGAAUGGGGAGUUAGUGUUUAGUGGGGACAGAGUUUCAGGUUUGCAAGAUGAAAAAAGAUAGAGACGCAUGGUGGUGAUGGCUGCACAACAAUGUGAAUGUGCUUAAUGCCACUGAACUUAAAAAUGGUUAAG